GUAAGACGCUAAUUACUGCCUUAUUCUCUUAUGAGAGAGAGAUUCCACCACCAUCUUCUUCUUCAUCUUUUUGUUCUUUAAGAUCAAGGGAUAUUAAAAGUUAUUACUCUUGAUUUUACUUGUAGAGAAAGUGUUCUCUGCAUUUGUUAUACACAAUACUCAUUUGCUAUCCCAAAGUUUGAACUAGCCACAUCCUUUUGCUCUAAUGGUUGAUUAGAGAGAGAGCUCUUGGAUUGUGGUUCAAGUCAAAGGUUGGGAGAUUGUAAUCACGGCAGUUUGUGUGGAUAGACUAAAGGGUCAAUAUUUUGGGGCUUCUGAUUUGUUUAAGGGUGGAAUUGUGAUUAUGUGCCUUAUAGGAAAAAUCCUAAACUUAGUUUAGGAGGUUUUCCUUGUUCUUGUUUCCUAACAACAAAAUUGAGCUUGAUGAUUAAUCGACGUCAAAAAUAGUUCAAAAAUAUUAUGAUCAUAUUAUAUUUAAUGCAUAAUGAUGCUUAAAAUGACUUGUAUGUGAUGCAUGUAACCUAGGUAAUUUUAAGAUUGCCUAAUUUUUGCUUUCCUUGCACUUUGGCACCUUCAAGAUUGAAUGUUGAAACUGAAGGAUUGUUGAACUAAAACAUUAUAUUGUCUGUGUUGUUGAUUGGACCGGUUAAGGGAUCUUCUAUGUUGCACUUUGCGCUCUAUUUAUAGCUACACUAGUGCUUGCUACCUAAGUUUCAUGACUCCACAUUUUGCUUGUUCCUUGAGAUAAGGCAAUUGUUUGUGAAUGUUCUUUAACCUUAUCUCAAUUGCAAUCCCUUAUUGCACUUGCACAAACUAACUCACGUCCAAUAAUUUCUUUUGAAUGCAACUUCUUAUAAUGUAACUGCAUUACACUCUGAAGUUCCAUAAUUGUAUAUUGAAUAUUCCAGAAGUUGCUUUUCAAUUCACGUGUUCCUUAAGCUGUAUAUUGAAUUCCAUAAUAUGGAUCUUGGGUAAAUAGGUCAAUGGAUUUGGGUCAAGUUGCACUUGGAUUUGUAGGCAAAUAGAUUAUGGAUUUUGGAUCAUGAUUAUUGUGUUUAGUUUAUGGACUUGGUUGUACUUGGAAUUUCAAGUGAAACGAGUCAUGGAUUUAGGCUAUGGAUUAA
RNAcentral lists this unclassified non-coding RNA (1124 nucleotides) under Hevea brasiliensis (rubber tree). The record is from RNAcentral. Lineage: Eukaryota; Viridiplantae; Streptophyta; Magnoliopsida; Malpighiales; Euphorbiaceae.